UAUCAAGUGCAAUUAUUUCAUUUAAAAUUUAUAAAACACUAAUGGUGAGAUUAAAAUUUUUUUUGCUCUAGAAAACGUUCUCCAUUUUAUGAGUAAUUAUUUAAAUCUUCCGUGACUUAGGAUUUAAUACUUUUAGAAUAAGGAAGUAAAGAAGACGGAAAAGGUGGGAAAAGAAUUAAUGGAGAGAAAAUAAACAGCAGAGUACAUAUAUAUGUAAUGCUAGGUGGGACAUUGAUUCGGUCAUCGUCCGAUGACGCAACACUGCUGAGUCUUGGUGCUGUCUAAACUCGGUCGCUGCACACAUACAUACAUAUAUUUUAUUGUUCAUAAGUAUUGAAUAUUUAUAAUAUAUAUAAAUAUAGAUGUGCAUGUAGUCAUGCAUGCAUAUAUAGAUUGCAGUGAACGUACGUCGAUUCUGUCUGCAUCAGCAAUUAAUUUUCCUGGCCUCGACUCUUCGCGUCGCGGUGGCCAGCAAACAUGCGCAGAAUCAGACCAAAGCCGGCAUCAAGUUUAGAACGUUCUAGAAGCCAACAGCCACGACUACGACUACGACUACGAGGAGGAUAAAGCAGGACAGAAUAUAUAUAAAUGAGCUGGGUAUAUAUAUGUAGGAAUAAGGAGUGAGUGAGCAAGUGGCGCCGCUAUCUCACUUGGAUUUAAUAGCGGCAGCAGCAGCUUUUUACUGUACAGGUUGAAUAGAGUACCAGUACUGGUACCAAAAGUUAUUUUUCUUAUUCCCGACUGCCCUGUGCUGUGGAUGAGGAGGAAUGUAAACAAAACAUGGGGUCUAAUGUUUGGAGAAGGAAAUAAACGUCAGGCAACUGACAUAACGCUUCUUUACAUUCUGUUCAACCAGUACUUCAGAAACUAAAGUUAAAUCCCGGUUGUUAUAUAAAUAUAACAAAUCUAUAUCUAUAUCUAUGCGUAUGCAUGAGAUAACGUUUGUUUGUAUAUAUUUUUUUGGUACUUGACAAUUACUAAGUACUGUAGGAAUAAAUACCUACCAAGGAUAAAUCAUCCAACGCGAGCUUAUCAACUUCCUCCAAAAUUAGUGCUAUCAAACCCGGACACACGUGCUCAGUCCUAUCAUGACCAUGUAUGAACCCCCUUUAUCCGACCCAUUAUCGCGCAGAUGCAGCAAUAAUCAGCUUGUUUUUAAUUAGUGUCUAAAUAUUCGGAGAUCGUGAGACCGUUGAAAAAAUUUGUGUUUACCUUGGAAGCAUGACGAGACCAAAGACGAGCCUGAACGAUUCUUCCUACGUCGUCUGCGUCUAGCUUCUUCCUGUCUUGCAUGGACUGAACUUAGUGGUUCUCCUGUUGAAGCCACAUCCCUGCGAUUUCCGUCAAC
Long non-coding RNA from Microplitis mediator, 1348 nucleotides. RefSeq lists it as uncharacterized. Lineage: Eukaryota; Metazoa; Arthropoda; Insecta; Hymenoptera; Braconidae. The record is from RefSeq and is a predicted model, not a curated record. The transcript has 2 exons.